RNAcentral lists this ribosomal RNA (497 nucleotides) under uncultured bacterium. RNAcentral's name for it is "partial 16S ribosomal RNA". It matches the Rfam family "Bacterial small subunit ribosomal RNA", at positions 28 to 507 of the family's 1533-position model. The record is from RNAcentral.
GAUGAACGCUGGCGGCGUGCCUAAUACAUGCAAGUCGAGCGGACGGACGAGAAGCUUGCUUCUCUGAUGUUAGCGGCGGACGGGUGAGUAACACGUGGGUAACCUACCUAUAAGACUGGGAUAACUUCGGGAAACCGGAGCUAAUACCGGAUAAUAUUUUGAACCGCAUGGUUCAAAAGUGAAAGACGGUCUUGCUGUCACUUAUAGAUGGAUCCGCGCUGCAUUAGCUAGUUGGUAAGGUAACGGCUUACCAAGGCAACGAUGCAUAGCCGACCUGAGAGGGUGAUCGGCCACACUGGAACUGAGACACGGUCCAGACUCCUACGGGAGGCAGCAGUAGGGAAUCUUCCGCAACGGGCGAAAGCCUGACGGAGCAACGCCGCGUGAGUGAUGAAGGUCUUCGGAUCGUAAAACUCUGUUAUUAGGGAAGAACAUAUGUGUAAGUAACUGUGCACAUCUUGACGGUACCUAAUCAGAAAGCCACGGCUAACUACGUG